This 1310-nucleotide long non-coding RNA is filed under the name Gadus morhua (Atlantic cod). RNAcentral describes it as "lncRNA (ENSGMOG00000034536.1)". Lineage: Eukaryota; Metazoa; Chordata; Actinopteri; Gadiformes; Gadidae. The record is from RNAcentral.
UACAAAUUGGAUCCUACAUUUAGGAAGAAGGAUGGCUGUAUCUGCCUUUUUGACUCUGAGGAUGCCAAGAAGGUCAAGACGGAGAUCGGCCAUGGACCAGAGCUCUUUCAUCAGAUGAGGUGAAAGAGUCUGCAAGGGAAGCUGUUGAGCAUAAAGGUGGGGACCCCAACAACGAGGAGCAUGUUCUUGGCCAGCAUAAAUUACAGUUUGGGCUCUUCAGGGAUAAAACAUUUAAAUGGCUGGCUGAGAACGCUCUGGGGUAUGCUGGCUAUGUGGUGGCAUCCAUGUCGGUGGAGUCAGGUCGCUCUGAUUCAACCAACAAUCUCAUAAACAAGACACUUUUGGAGAAGUAAAUCUCUGUUUCCUGCUGGCCGCUAUGCCAUUCGGGUGAAGAAGGACGCACUGAGCUCCAAACUUCCAAGCCGACCUGCCACUACAGCUUCUGCCUCUACACAGGCCGCCUCCACAUCCCCAACAGCCUUCAACCUCCUUGCAGGCUGCUGUCAAUGUAGCACCCGCCUUCUCUCCACGAUCAUCCGUAGUGCCUGCAUCCUCCCUACGCGGCCUGUUGUCAAGGAGAGACCAGUCUCCCCAGGCUAUCUCCAAAAAUGUAAAGAGCCUCUUCACAAAACCAAGGUUUCAGCCAUGUAAGUAUGCAACAAUACAAUAUAUUUUUUGUGUUAUACUGAGUUUUACAUGUUUUCAUAUUUUUAAUCAUCAUCAUCGGCAGUAACAGUAAAAACGGAACCAACUGACAGCAAGCUCAUGCAGGCUGCCGCAGAAGUUGACCCCGACACAUCGCAGAGCAGAAUUUGCCUCCCCGCUGGUUGGAUCCCCGCCCUGCCAGAGGUUGACCAGCACUGGAUCUCGAAGGCUCUGUUCCGGUGGUCACCCUCUGGUCAACCAGAGUUUGACAUUGACAAGGUGGACAGAAUGUGGUGGUAUCCACCUCAGCAGUCGCUGACAUCCAGUGCCAUCCCAGCAAUGGAGCAGUUCUUUGGGCACCCUCUGUUCCUGUGGAUGCCCAGGAAGCUGUGGCAUGUGCGACUGCUCUGUCCACAUCAAGACUGUGGGAAGGCAGAGCUCACCUCUGCGGGACUCCAUCAGAGGGUCAGGCUGGUGGUUGGUGUCAGCGGCUCUUACUACCUGGUAGCCGAAUACCUUGCAUGUAAGAGUUGCAAAAGGAAGGUCAUCAGCUGGAGCCACAACAUCGUCUCUCAGCUAGACAUUGGUCACUGCCUGCAUUUCCCAUGUCUGCUGACAUACAAGCUGGGGUGCGACAUGCAGGUUGUGCGCAUGAUACGUCAGCG